RNAcentral lists this long non-coding RNA (327 nucleotides) under Pongo abelii (Sumatran orangutan). RNAcentral's name for it is "lincRNA". The record is from RNAcentral. Lineage: Eukaryota; Metazoa; Chordata; Mammalia; Primates; Hominidae.
UUGAGGGCUCUGGAGUGCUCUUCAAAACCGUCUUCUUCCUACCCUUUUCAGCAGACAGCAGCAUCUCAGGGAUGCCUUCCCCUCCCAGAGGGGCCAGAGGUGGGCAGGGAACAGAAACCUCAAAGAGUCCUGCAGCUCUCUCGGCGGGAAGCCGCCCCAGCCCUUCUUGAGGCGUGCGCCCAAAAUGCACUUCUUCUAGGUGGAGGAAUGUCUGACGAUGGGAACGUUGAUCUUAAUCAUGCCAGGUGAAAAGCUUGAGGAGCCGUGCACACAGACGGUGAAACGAUCAUCAAAGAAUAGGCUGCGGCAGGCUGGAUGGUAACGAUG